AUCCAAAGAAAGAAUGGAUCCACUUAAGAAACCAAAGACUCCACAACUUACACAGCAUCGGUCACGUCAGAUUUGGUUGAAAAUUUGGUCAAAAAGACAAUCCCAACAACCUCCUACUCUUUACAAAAGUGAUGAAGAUCAUUAAUAGAUUUUAAAAGGCCAUCACUUUUAUCAGAAGAGAAAGAAGCACGGUGAAGAGGCCUUCAUCAUGAUCUUUUGAAGAAGAAAAAUACCAAUUAAUGAGAUCAUCUGAAGAAGAUAGGGUCGCAAGGACCUCGAGCC
Molecule: long non-coding RNA, 282 nt
Filed under: Elaeis guineensis (African oil palm)
Lineage: Eukaryota; Viridiplantae; Streptophyta; Magnoliopsida; Arecales; Arecaceae
Description: long non-coding RNA (EGUI_LNC011873)
Source: RNAcentral